GUACUGAUGAAGAGUCCCAAACGAGUGGGACGAAACAGCUGUUCAGUAC
This 49-nucleotide non-coding RNA is filed under the name Trichobilharzia regenti. The record is from RNAcentral. Lineage: Eukaryota; Metazoa; Platyhelminthes; Trematoda; Strigeidida; Schistosomatidae.